AGAUUGAACGCUGGCGGCAUGCUUUACACAUGCAAGUCGAACGGUAACAGGCCGCAAGGUGCUGACGAGUGGCGAACGGGUGAGUAAUGUAUCGGAACGUGCCCAGUCGUGGGGGAUAACGCAGCGAAAGCUGCGCUAAUACCGCAUACGAUCUAUGGAUGAAAGCGGGGGACCGUAAGGCCUCGCGCGAUUGGAGCGGCCGAUAUCAGAUUAGGUAGUUGGUGGGGUAAAGGCUCACCAAGCCAACGAUCUGUAGCUGGUCUGAGAGGACGACCAGCCACACUGGGACUGAGACACGG
RNAcentral lists this ribosomal RNA (299 nucleotides) under uncultured soil bacterium. RNAcentral describes it as "partial 16S ribosomal RNA". It matches the Rfam family "Bacterial small subunit ribosomal RNA", at positions 26 to 329 of the family's 1533-position model. The record is from RNAcentral.